RNAcentral lists this long non-coding RNA (1052 nucleotides) under Mus caroli (Ryukyu mouse). RNAcentral describes it as "EST AA545190 (MGP_CAROLIEiJ_G0006284.1)". Lineage: Eukaryota; Metazoa; Chordata; Mammalia; Rodentia; Muridae. The record is from RNAcentral.
AGGACCAGCAGUCUCAUUUAAUCUGUGAGAUCUCUCAAACACUGGACCACCAAACAGACAGCAUAUGCCAGCUGAUAUGAAGACCCAACAAACAUACAGUAGAGGACUUCUGGUUCUGUGUUCAUUCAGAAAUGAUGUACCUAACCCUCAAGAGACUGAAGGCCUCAGAGAAUUUUGAGGGAAAUGCUCAAUAUGAUCUGAAGUGAGAUUGUAGGCAUUCCUAUAGACUGAGGAUGAUAUCUAAAGCAAGGAAAAAAGCUUCAAAGAAAAAGAUUUGUUCUCCAUUGCCUGAGAUUAGGGAUCCAGGAGGAGGAGCAUCUGUGUCCCUAGCACUGAGUGCCAAAGCAGUGAAAACAUUCAAAGGAGAGAGUUUCAAAACCAUCCGAACCCAUGAUCAGGCCUGACGAUGGAGAGCUUUGUAAGAUGCAAGAAGAAGACAGUAGGGAGUGCUGGAAGUGACUGAGCAUGAACGAUACUUGUUCUAUACAGCAUGAUGCUCCCCACCCCUAAAAGCUUCAGAGAUCCCUAUCAAAAGGAAUUUCUGACUUUUAUAGGUUUUCAGGGAGUGGUGAGGAUUUCCAUAGCUCAUUAUUUCAUCUGGCCGAUAUUAUGUGACAAGCAGAAUAGAGGGGUCAGGUACAGCCUGUGACUACAAGGCUGUCUUUCAGUUGUAACAGGGAGGAACUGGGCUCUCAUACACCCCAUUCUCCACCAACCCUGUGUGUUACAACUGUCUCAAGAGAUGCUAUCAGCCACAGUCAAGCAUUUACUCUCUCAGGAAUUUUACAUAUCAUAUACUUUCUGUAUGUUAUCAUCACCUACUACAAUUAAUAUAUCAUAGAGAAUGAAUAAAAAUCACUAAAUAUCUAACUCUAAAAUAAUUAGAAUCCAAAGCAUUUGAUGCAUUUCUAGCUCAAGUAUAUAUCCCUGGAAAUAUUUUAAUGUAUCAGGAUAAAUAUGUAAUUUUGGUAGGUCUUUCAAAUCAAUUUAGAAUAUGUUUAACUUUUGUUCCUAGUCUCCCUGUUCAAAUGAACAGAUUAAUAAUCGAAAAA